This 1153-nucleotide ribosomal RNA is filed under the name Epigamia macrophthalma. RNAcentral's name for it is "bacterial SSU rRNA". It matches the Rfam family "Eukaryotic small subunit ribosomal RNA", at positions 618 to 1795 of the family's 1831-position model. The record is from RNAcentral. Lineage: Eukaryota; Metazoa; Annelida; Polychaeta; Phyllodocida; Syllidae.
CAGUUAAAAAGCUCGUAGUUGGAUCUCGGGCCGCCGGCGGCGGUUCGGCCUCGUGGCCGCCUACUGCCGUCGGCGCCCGACACGGCGGUCUCGCCCGGCGGGUGCCCUUAGCUGGGUUCUGCCCGCCGCGGCCGCCCCUUUUACUUUGGAAAAAUCUGAGUGUUCAAGGCAGGCCGACGGCGCCUGUAAGGAGUUGCAUGGAAUGAUGGAACAGGACCGCGCGGUCUAUUUUGUCGGUUGUCGGACUCGCGGUAAUGAUUGAGAGAGACGGUCGGGGGCAUUCGUAUGGCGGCGCGAGAGGUGAAAUUCUGGGACCGUCGCCAGACGGACGGCUGCGAAAGCGUUUGCCAAGGACGUUYUCHUUAAUCAAGAACGAAAGUCAGAGGUUCGAAGACGMUCAGAUACCGUCCUAGYUCUGACCUUAAACGAUGCCGACCAGCGAUCGGCGGGCGUUGUBUCAAUGACCCCGCSGGCAGCCCCCCGGGAAACCCGAGUCUCUGGGUUCCGGGGGAAGUAUGGUUGCAAAGCUGAAACUUAAAGGAAUUGACGGAAGGGCACCACCAGGAGUGGACUGCGGCUUAAUUUGACUCAACACGGGAAAUCUCACCGGGCCCCGACAGCGAGAGGAUUGACAGAUUGAGAGCUCUUUCUUGAUUCGGUGGAUGGUGGUGCAUGGCCGUUCUUAGUUGGUGGAGUGAUUUGUCUGGUUAAUUCCGAUAACGAACGAGACUCCGGCCUGCUAAAUAGUCAGUCGGUGCGUCUGCUCGCCGGCGACGACUUCUUAGAGGGACAAGUGGCGCUCAGCCACGCGAGAGCGGGCAAUAACAGGUCUGUGAUGCCCUUAGAUGUUCUGGGCCGCACGCGCGCUACACUGAAAGACCCAGCGAGACGCUGUCCUAUGCCGGAAGGUACGGGUAAUCUGCUGAACCUCUUUCGUGCUAGGGACUGGGGCUUGCAAUUGUUGCCCACGAACGAGGAAUUCCCAGUAAGCGCGAGUCAUCAGCUCGUGUUGAUUACGUCCCUGCCCUUUGUACACACCGCCCGUCGCUACUACCGAUUGAGUGGUUUAGUGAGACCCUUGGAUUCGUCCCGGCCGAGGCAGCUCCGUCUGCCGCGCGCGGUCGCGGAGAAGACGGUCGAACUUGACUACUUA